Microtus oregoni (creeping vole) is the source of this 898-nucleotide long non-coding RNA. RefSeq lists it as uncharacterized. NCBI's taxonomy places the organism in Eukaryota, Metazoa, Chordata, Mammalia, Rodentia, Cricetidae. The transcript has 6 exons. The record is from RefSeq and is a predicted model, not a curated record.
GAAAUCUCUAUCUGCAUCCAGGAAGGUUUGGGCUGCCUUCUCAGCUUAGACCUACUUCUUGCUUCAGCAUUUCAGUGAACACACCGAUGCAGCAAUCAAGAGAUUGCUGCCCAUCAAUGCCUUUUGCCUACUAAUCUCUGCAGGUCCUGUGAAUCCUCCCAGGUGCCCUGUAGGCACUGCGGCCUCUUGGCAUUAGGAUGCUGUCACGCACAUCUACAUAAGGACUCGAAGCUGGCCUGGUGCCAAAAAGAAAAAAGAAAAAGAAAAAAAAAAGUCAAAUAGUUUGUGUCCUGCUUCAAAGCUCUGUUUUAUAGUGUUGCUAGAAGCCAGAUGAAUAACUUCCUUCUAUCAGAAGAAGGGAACAACUACCUCAAAACAGGAAAUGAGACACUAUCCCAAGAGAUAAAGCUACCAUAAUUCUGAGUGCCACAACCGUUGGAAGAUAUCAGGUACGUUGGGGCCUCCACCUGAAAAGGCAGAGCUGUGCCUAAGCUUACCCUUGAUAGAAAGGAAACCAACGGCAUGUCGUCUGCAGUCAAACAAAUCCCAGCGUGGAAAAGAAGAAGAUAAGGCAUUGGAAAACCACUGAUAACACCUCUUAUGAGAUCAUUCCACACCACUGUUUAAGAAAUCUUUGACGAUCUCCAAGUUGAGGCAGAUGGUGCCGUUCAGCAACAGCACAACCAGCCCGCACCAGUUUGUUGAUCUCCUCCAUGAAUCACAAAUCCCCGGACAUUGAUGAAGCCUGGGCAAACCUUCCCAAGCCCACCAGAUGUGCCGUGAAGUAGCCAGAGAAGCAAGUUACCCUGUGGUGAGAACUCUGUAUUUGAUGAGCGAUGGAAUCACAGUGCACACUCCUCAUUGUCCUUUGAAACAGAAGUGGGGUUCCCAGAACAAG